CUCUCACGACAUCGGUACAAUCUUCACUCUUUUUUCUCAGGUCUUCUCCUCCUCAUGCGGAAGAAAAACAAACAUUAUACGCCUUAGUAUUAACAGAUUUUAAGAGUCAUUUUUAGUACCGUGUCUUGAGUUUUUUUUGUCGAGAACUAAUUACUUUUUACGAUGGUUUGAUUCUUUACAGAUUUUUGGACCUGUUGGAGUAAAAAAGGAAUUUAAGAGUAGAAGUGGAGAAGAAUGCAUCAAG
This is a long non-coding RNA of Arabidopsis thaliana (thale cress), 244 nucleotides long. RefSeq annotates it as other RNA. NCBI's taxonomy places the organism in Eukaryota, Viridiplantae, Streptophyta, Magnoliopsida, Brassicales, Brassicaceae. The record is from RefSeq. The transcript has a single exon.